UUGAACGCUGGCGGCCUGCCUUACACCUGCAAGUCGAACGGUAACAGGUUAAGCUGCCGCGUGGCGAACGGGUGAGUAAUGUAUCGGAACGUGCCCAGUCGUGGGGGAUAACUGCUCGAAAGAGCAGCUAAUACCGCAUACGACCUGAGGGUGAAAGCGGGGGAUCGCAAGACCUCGCGCGAUUGGAGCGGCCGAUAUCAGAUUAGGUAGUUGGUGAGGUAAAGGCUCACCAAGCCGACGAUCUGUAGCUGGUCUGAGAGGACGACCAGCCACACUGGGACUGAGACACGGCCCAGACUCCUACGGGAGGCAGCAGUGGGGAAUUUUGGACAAUGGGCGCAAGCCUGAUCCAGCCAUGCCGCGUGCGGGAAGAAGGCCUUCGGGUUGUAAACCGCUUUUGUCAGGGAAGAAAAGGUUCUGGCUAAUACCUGGGACUCAUGACGGUACCUGAAGAAUAAGCACCGGCUAACUACGUG
Molecule: ribosomal RNA, 476 nt
Filed under: uncultured bacterium
Lineage: Bacteria
Description: partial 16S ribosomal RNA
Rfam family: Bacterial small subunit ribosomal RNA
Source: RNAcentral